GGCAGGUAUUGGACAAUCGCUCUGAUAAUAUCAGAGAGGAAAGUCCGAACACAGCGCAAGCCCAAAAGGCUGGGAAUGGUAGCGGGUAACGCCCGCAUGUAGCAAUACAUAGGUGCGAGCAGAGACGCCGACGCCGAAAGGCUAGGAUUCCGCAAGGAAUAAUCUGAUAGAAAUAUCAGGGUGAAACGGCUAAAUCCUUACCUCUGUGCAAGAUCGUGUCUCUUCGCAAGAAGAGAAGAAUCGCUUGAGCUUGGGAGCAAUCCCUGGCCUAGAUAAAUGAUUGUCAUCCUGAUUUCGGUCAGGACACAGAAUUCGGCUUAUAGAUACCUGCACAAA
This 336-nucleotide RNase P RNA is filed under the name Minisyncoccota bacterium. Its description in RNAcentral is "RNase P RNA component class A". It matches the Rfam family "Bacterial RNase P class A". From Rfam's summary of the family: Ribonuclease P (RNase P) is a ubiquitous endoribonuclease, found in archaea, bacteria and eukarya as well as chloroplasts and mitochondria. The record is from RNAcentral. Lineage: Bacteria; Bacillati; Minisyncoccota.